UAUUUAAAUGUCUGUUCAAGACACUUGACCUUUUAUUAUCCUGUUUUUCUACUACACUAAUCCUUCCCUGUCAAAACUAGUGCAAGCUUUAAACAGUCAUUUUCCCAUCAGUCUCCUUUAGAAGCACAAAAACCUCCUAGUGCCAGGUUUAUUGCUCAUCUUAUUAUACGAGGCUUUUACUUUCGAUUAUGGGCAAACGGAUUUCUGGAAAGCUGGUCAGUGUACUCCCUGGGAGAAAAGCAACCAUGUUUGAUACAUGAAUUGCUAGCACUGAUACAGUUCUAAUCUAAACUCUACAGAAGACUGCAUAACGCUGCUUUGAAAACCACAAACACAAACCUCAAGCCACCUUCAAGUGGAAAAAAUGACAGCUAUGUUACACCAAGCAAGCUUUCUUCUAAAAACCGUGUGUAUGACUGUAACAGAAGAGUACAGUCAGAGCUCAAACAGAGCAAUUAAUUUCCAGGUCAGUAACUCUUGGUAUUGGACCAAACUAGUGAGCACUGUCAAGCUGGCACUCAGACCAUCACCACAAGCUCUGUGCUUCAGACACAGAACUGGGAAAAUCUAUGGGCCAUGGGAAAUGAGGUCAGGGAAGAAACAGGGAAAAAAAGAAAACACAAAAAUUUUUAUUCUUUUUUUUUUUUUUUUGUAAAAAGUGAUGCAAGAACUUACACAAAUCAUUAGUGGGACAGAAGCUUUAACCAUUAAAAUCUAAAACCCUAACUAAUGUAAGCUCUCGUACUAACCUGGGCAACAUCUGCGAUGCAAGGUAACGGCAGUGAGUGGAAAAAGUUAUUUUACAAAUAUAUUACUUGGAAAGAAUUUCUCUUUUAGAGAAAACGCAAGAGGAACAAUGCUGGACGUGGCAGGAAACCGGCCAACACUUCAAAUGAAAACAGUCAAACUCGAUGUAUUUCCCUGCUAAAGCAGCACAGCCUCGGCCGCCUGGUUUCCUUCGCUCGCUCUAACACUGCACAGCAAGUAGUGCCUCUGGGGGGGGACAGGCACCCUCACCGCUGCCUUUUCCAAGUGCUUUUCGUCGCCAAACGCAUUUCACGGACGUUUUCUUUCCAUUUCUCGUCACUUCCAAAGCCUCUGCACGCACAGAGCGGGUGCAAAGCUCUCAGGGACCGGGAAAUAAACGAGAUGAAAGCACGUCGGGUUAAAGAGCCUUGAAAAGAUUUCGCAACGGGAAGGAGGAAGAAGCUGCGAAUCUCUGAAGUGCCGGCCCAGGGAAUAAAGGCACCGUCAUUCCUCUGGGAAGUUUUGGGGAGCUCUUCCCAACGAGAGGGGCACAGUUCCAGCUCUGGUGCUGGGCUAAUGGUGUCCUCAGGACUACAGAUCUUGUCUAUAAAACCACUGUGAAAGCCACCCCAAAGAGAUGUGUUCCCAUCUGUCUGUCUGCCUGUCUGUUAUAGUGGUCAAACUAUUUUAACAAAAGCUGAUCAACAAUGUUUGAAUCGGAGAGAAGAAAGGAAGGAAAUGAUGUGUGGACAGGGAGAGUCAAUCAUCUGAAAGAUCAGUUCCAACAGAUUCAUGGAAAUUAGCCUCUUUCAUCGUCAUCAGGCACCAGUGAUGCUCCUGCAGGCUCUUGGCUACACAAACAAGGACUGGGCAAACCAGGAAAAUUCAGGACCAAAGUUAGUGGGGUGCACAUUAUUUUAGCACCCAAACUGAGUUCCAGGAGAAAAGCCAGUAUGGUCAAAUAAUGAUUUGUGUUUGUUUGCAUUUUUUGUUCAUAAUUAGUCCAUAUUGCUGUGAGUUGGCUGUACCAACAGAACAUUUCCUGAGGGACAACUAGUCCCCAUCCUUCCAACGCUUCCAUUUCAGGAAAGAUGGUUCUGGCAAAAGUUAACAAUACUUGAAAGAAUAGAUUUUUAAGUCAUUGGUGUUUUAUUUGCCUCAGUGAGCAGAUCUGCUACACAGAGGUGCUUUUCUGAGGUACUUCUCAUACACCAAGAAGUGAUUCAGUUUCUCUUUAGGGUCUUCAAUGGCCUGGUGAGUUGGGAGAUUAGGGUUUUGUGUCUCAUCAUAGUGUUGUUUUCAUUAUAUUCCCACUGUUCAUUUUUUAAUGCUCUCUUCAAGAGCUGAUAAAGAACUACAAAGUUACUUUUAAAGCAUUUAUUGUAGUGGUUGAUGAUAAUGUAGCUUCACAGACCAGUCAAACGUACUAGCCUAAACUUUCUCCUGUUACAGGCCGGGGAGUUUCACUCAGUAUGUGCCAUAUGCAGAUUCUACUUUUUGGGUGAAAGUAGGUAUUUUUAGUCUGUGAUAGAAAAAAAAGAAUCUAUUAUUUACUUAAUGACUUCAAACAAGAAGCAGCCCAGAUUUCAGAGUCCAUUAUUAUCAGAUAUCUUAUUUACGUAAAUAUUUACAGACUACUAUCUAGUCACUUCGUCUUUGUGUUACUCCACUAAAAAGAUUAGGCUUUCCACAAUUUUCACUGGGAGCUUUUUUUAUUUUCCAGUUUACUCCUCCAGCCUGGUUUGCAGACAAGUAGUGCUUUGUGGGCAGUCAGAUGGCCAGAAGUGGAGUGAAUGAAGUAUGUACAGAUCAAAACCAGAAAGAAAGAAGCACAUGUGAAGGCAAACCAACAUUUAAAUGCUUGGUGUGGGAAAACAGAAAUGUUACCUGGCAAGAGCAGGGAUUUUAAGCUGCUGUGUGGUGCAUGCUGCUGAGGGGGUUUUGCAGAGACCUCACACCUUAGCAGUUCAGAUGUGAAAUAAUCUUUGGGAUUCUGCACAGCAUAGGGGGGGAGAGAGAGAGAGACAGAGAGAGAGAGGGAGGGAGACAAGCUUCCCAAAGUACCCAGUUGAGGUGCUGUGAGCUGGACCCUCUGGGACAAGCACAGGGUGAUGGUUUUGCAGCAGGGAAAGAUGGCAGGAGCUCCCCUGAGUCACUGGUGCUCUGCUCUCAUCUUACACUGGAAGAGGACUCAAACACCUAUCAGGCUCACACCUGACUGUCUUAUUUAUUUAUUUUUUUGCUGCCCAGACCAGCUUCCCCACUGAGUUUGCUGUUAGCUGGGCCAGUAUAGAGAAUACAGAGCAGGCCCAGGGCUGCACCUACGUGAGGCACAUCCUGCCGUUGCAGCUGCGGUGUGAGCUGGGUGAACCCUCACCCCUGCGGCUUCCUCGAGCCUCCGCACAGGAAGCACAACAAGGAUGUCACACCCUAAAACCAACCCUGUCCAACAGUCUCCUGACACCAACAUAAGUGCAACCUCCUCCAGGGAGGGACGACAGGUUGCUCCCACACCUCGGCAGCCCUAGGUGUACCUUGGUGGAUCCGGCUUCUCCUCCUACUGCAUGUGAGCUCAUUAGAAACACCUUGCUGCUGGGAAGCAGCAGUUCACAGUGGAGAGGUUUUACAGGCAUAACUGUGACUCUGGACCUGCCCUGUCAUGUCCAGGUUGGAGUGGGGCUCACCCUCCCUGGCUCGCUCCGGUGCAACCCUGAGUUUCAAAACGAAACGGAGAAGCAACACAAUUUUUAAGGGGCAGAGAAGUAAUUGAGUAAUUGCCUUCACAGUUACAUGCUCAGCUUUCUACUGUUUGCACAAAUGAAUCACAAACAGGAAGAUUGAUACCACGGGAAACCUUGGGCUACCUCUCGAGGCAGAGAUAAUCGUUCAUCUCAUGCUCAGGCAGUCAGUAAACAAACAAUAGCACUUCACACUUCAUUUGUCAGCCUACAAGGCACGGGUUGUGUUCAUGUUUUAUCUCUGCACUCGUCUUACACAGUGCUGUCAUGCAAUUUGCACUGAUUUUUUUUGAAUUAGCAAUAAUUAUAAGUAGAAACACACCACUGAGUAAAUUAUAGAGUCACUUGCCAUUUCCCCAAGCAGCACACUGCUGCUCUCUGCUUCAGUUCUUAUACUCAUCUGCACCUGCUACAGGGAAAAUUUCAAGAUGACGCAAAUUCAAAAUAUAAUCAAAAGCAAGCUGAACCAGUUCAGAGAAAAGUGGUCAGAAAUAUUUGUGCUUUACCAAUACUGUGCUAUGAGCUGGACUAAUCAGCUUUAUCUGUAUUUUUCAAGCUACAUUUUCAGAUCCUUGCUACAAAUACCUGAAUGAUACGGCAAGAUUUUUUUCAGUUUAAAGCACAGUGCCAGUCACAUGCAUUUUUGUAAAAGCGUUGAUGUCUGUUUGCUUGCCCCAGCAAGGUCCCAAGAGCUCUCUGGUAAUUUCUAAGAACUCAGAAAUGUCACAGGAGGACAAGCAGCUCCCUGUGUGCAGCAGAGAUCACUGCUUAGUGCCACUCAGCAUCUAAGUAGAAGAGGAUGACACAACAUUAAGCUUUGGGGAAUGCAAAACCCAAAGAGACAUUGGCUCUAGUUUGCCAUUCAGUGGUCCUUCUCUGAGGACCAUUCUCAGGAGCACUGAGUGAUUCCUGGCACCCUGAAAAGCUAAUAUAAAUAUUAAUGGCAUCAACCAACACCUCGGGACUGAGGUGAUGAAUCUCUGUUCCUGUCACAUCAUAGACUGUACAAAUAGGGCAUGAUCAUUUACUCUGAAGUGCCUGAAAUAACUCAGGAGUCUCUUCCAGCCAUUUUUGAAUGCCUUUAAAAUUCCAGCCAUUAUGCUCACAAGAAACUGCAUUUGCUCAGCCUGUUCUUUGUUUCUGGUCCCUGAACAUGAUCUCCACUCAAAUACAGUCUCAGUUUCAAAGCCUAUGGAGGACGUAGUUCUUCCAUAAAGCAUCUGUAGGCUGCAUAAUAUCUAUAAAUUUCAGUAUGUAGCCUGGAAGCCAAAUACAGGUAAUGGAAACUAGGACACUUUUAUAGGCAUGAGCUUAUAAUAAUUUAAAACCUGAAUACCGAAUGGAACAACAGAACAACUAAAACUCUCUGAUUUACACUGUCUUCUUUCAACACAGCCAUGAGUAAGCACAGUCAAAAAUCAUAGUCAGGAAAGUAUGAGACAGGAGUGAAAGGUAGUUAUCCUAUGCCACUUGUUGGCAGCCAAUAUACUGGGAAAAAUGUUUAAUAUUGUCUAAGGAAGAGCCACGUGGGAAUAGCAGGGAUUACUCUUUAAAAGCACAUCUUCAGCUCAGUCUAUACGAGUAGAAGUCCUGGCUAUAUGCACACCUUAGCAGAAUUUCUGCAAGGAAGAUGCUGUCUUAAAGAUAUCCAUAAACCAGUUCUGAAAGCUGAUUUCAUAGAAACAUUUCUCUGUUGAGGAAUAUUUCUAUAAAAGCCUUGGUGCUGUGGAAUGAGAUCCACUCAUUUUUUCAAAUAACAGAUGAUCCCUGAAGUGUCUUGCUCUUCUAUUACUGCACCUUAGUGUCGUGUCCAGUGCCUGUGCCUAUUUAUUUCCUAUACUGUGAUGCUCCAAAAUCUGUUAGUAAGCUCUUCAAAACUGAUAUAUGUACACAUAUCAAAUGCAUCAUAUUGGAUCAUCAGUGAGACCACAGUCCCCUCCAGUUCUACUGGAACUCAGGAAAACCAGAUCCCACUAAUGCUGUUACCCUGUUGUCAGCAAUACAGGGGUACGAGCAGGAUCAAGCCUAAGACCUUGGCUUAUAAGGCUCUUUAUAAAAUAAUCACUCUGCUGAAAGGCUUCAGUGAACCCAGUCUUGUGUUACAAUAGACUUUCUUACAGCCUCCCUUGCUUCUGGCCAUUCCUUAUUUAUAUCACUCAAAUUACUCGGCUCAUUAGUCUGCCAUUCUAAUAGAAGUCCAGUUGAGUUUAGUUUAUUUACUGUUUGUUAACAGCCCUUUCUUUUAAAAACAACAUACAUUUGUCUGUGUUUGCAGAAGUCUGGAAUAGAAUGGAAGCAAGGGAGUAAAAAAAUUCAUCAGGGCUUUUAAAGACUUUAAUCAUUCACAUAAACAGCCAGAUGACUGCAGUCAUUCAAAAUAAAAAUAAAAUCAAAACACACAGACUUCCCUAGGCAAGUGGAUAGCUCUUAAAAUGACUAGCCAGAUAAAGGAACAAGCUAGUUAAAAGAAUAUUGACUGAACCAUACUGCUUUUAGAAAAAACUGAUAAUGAGAGAGAGCACAGAAUAAGAUAGAAGGAUCUUCCAAGUAUUCUGGCUGCACUGAAACAUAACAAAGCAGAUUGCUUCCACUAAGGAGGCUUCAGUUCUUACUGUUCUUCUUAAAGGGGUUGUGUCACCAGGAUUUAUUAUUAAGGUGGACAUAAGCUUGCCAAGGCACUCAGCUUUAUGUUAAGAGGCCUCAGUGCAGACUUAAGGUACCAGUUUGAUAUUGUGCAUAACUUCAAGUAGAUGCUCAACUUCAAGCUCUGUUGUUCCCUCUGUUGAUCCUAAUGAAAUUAUCAAUUUAGAUUGCCUACAUUGGUAUGGCAGCAUGAACUGGAGCCUCUGACUUAGGGGCUCAUGCCCUGCUCGACAUGUGUGGUGUAUCCUGUCAGGAAGACCAUGUCAACACAUGGGCAAUUGCUUCUGAUAUCCUUGCAGAUGGCUUCAAAGGACAUAUGUUAGAGAGCUGAGUCUGGGCAGUUGGAUUUGAAAACUGUGGCCUAAACAAAUUGUUUAAAGGAGUAAGGCCAAAUUUUCCAUGCUAAAAUUUUUGCUGUGACUUUUCAUAUGGGGAUCUGCAACAGGCCAAGUUCUGUUAAAAAAAAACAACAACAAACCUAUCUCUAGACAACUUCAGCCAGUUCCAAGAACGGAGCUGGGAAAAAAGAAAAGGCUGUUUGCCACAUGGUAAGAACUUCAGGCAGCCACUUCUUUGCAAACCUCCUGGUGCAGAGGCUUGGACAAUGGAAUAGGGUUCACCAAGCCAUAGAUGUGCCCUUACACCAGAGGCAGCUAAAAGCAAGAAUUAAGGGUUGUCGUCCUUGGCAAGUGUUUAGUUUCACACUGAUGGAUUGUUUCAAUUAGUAAACCAUGAUCGUUUAACGUUGUACAGGAUGUCACAUGAUGAGCUGAUGGAAAUGCCAGCUCCUACCUGAUAACUUGUUACAUCUCUCGUGUUACGCAAGAUGUUGCUUUAUGGAUUCUUCUGUGUAGUAGUACAUCCGAUUGAAUUACUUUACAAAAGUGCUCUUAACAAAAUGACAAUGCAGCUAGGUCAGGAUAAACUAAAAAUAUCUUCUAGAACAAGCUAUUGGAAAAUUAAUUAGUUUUGGGUCUAACCCAGUAUUCACUGCACUCCAUGGAAAACCAUCCACUGGUAAGGAAAAGGAAUGGCAGACCAAGCCUUUGCAGGAUUCUUUAGCCCUGGCCAAAUUAUUACAUAAAUGCAAAUUCAGGAUAGCACCAGUAAGUAAAGAACUGAUGACAAAAACUAGCUCUGUCCCUAAUAGCCCAUUUCAGGCAUUUGUUCACUAGUAAUGUCUGUCAACUGAAACCAAGUUUUUGAAGUUAUUUUACACUUGUGCUGUACACUGCCAGAGCCAAAACAUCAGUUAAGUUUGCUGCUGUGUCCUUAGAGUACUCUGCUGUGUCAUGAAGGCUCCUUUCCAGCUCCAGAUGAGUUAAGGACAAUGUCACCAUUAACUGUGAAGUUUCUUGCUACUUUGGUUCAUGAUCUCAAUGCUACCUGAACUAGAAAGGAGAUAGUAUUAAAAUACAUGUCUAAGUAAUCCAGAAAGAGAGUGUGAAUGACUUCCUAAGUUUUAUUCAUAUUCUUUCAUAUUCUUCCUGCAAUAUUCUCCUUCUGUACUUGUGCUAAGCAGCCCUAGACCUCACAGCUAUGGACUGCUUGCCUCCAGUUUUAAGCAUUUAGAUGUCAAUUAUGGCAUUGAAUUCAAGGACUGAAUUAUAGUGCUUUUCUUUGUUAUAACUCUGCUGGGAAAGAGCCACAGUUGCUAUGAACUCUGAGCCAUGGUUAUAAAUCAGUAGUGAUGUGCUGAUCUCCAUCUGCUCUUAAACAAACCACUCCUCAGUUACACCAGUGUGAAUGAAAGGAGAACCAAAAUGUAAGUAUCAACUACUAAUGAUGACUGACAUGCACAAAAGUUUCUAAACUUCUAAGGCAAAAUUUUUUAUAAUAUGAAGAAUGCAUAAAAAUAAUGCAUUUGCAUUCCCUGGGAACCAAUAUAAGUAGGAAUUGGGCAGCUCAGUAGCAGGUCAGUAGCUCACAGGAUGAAGAGUUACUCUAGAGUUGGUGGCAUACUCUGAUUUCUUCCUUUCUCUUUUCUAAGCCUCAAUACAAGGACUUUCUUCUAAGCAUGUUAAAACACUUCACAGUGGAUAUCCUUAGGAACCAAGUGAAGAGAGCAAGCUGAGCCAGGAGCGAAAUGCAGACCUGAAUCUGCUUAAUUUCUAUUCUAGGAUAAAGCUCUGACUAACAAGGAGCAGUGUUCCAUGGGAUGCAGCCUGCCUACUGAAAUGGUUUUGCUGUGAAUGAAAACAGUAACUACUGGGACAGAGCGAGAGUCUUGUUUACAGCACGUGGUAGUUCGGACACACACUUGAGAUGUGUGUCCAGAUCCUUGUUCCACAGAAGUGUUGGACACCUCUGCAGUACAUGAACAGAGGAGAGAUUUAGAAAGAUUCCCUCUCAAUAGUCCAUAGCCCAGUGACUACAUGCCUCUAAGUAUCUCUGCAAUGUAAAACAAUAAUUGUGAUUAAAAUGAGAAUAUUACCGCACUUAAGUCGUACAUAGAAGCUCCAAUACUUUUUAUAAGUGAUGUAAUUCAGAUGGUGUGUUAUUGAAUCCAUUUAAUUUUCUGUCCUUCUGUCAGCUUGAGUAUUUGUGCAAAUGGGACUGGUGACUGACUUCCUAAUAAUCAAAAUGUAAUGAUUCCCCUACUUCACAUCAUAGAACUGUAACUUUUUAUUUAAUCAAUAUAAAUGUUUAAGUAAUAACAUCAGGGAGGAGCAGCUACAAAUGAGCUGAGCUAUAAGUGACCUACAUCAGUGGUUGAUCAUGCUUCUUGAUUAGUGUAAGCUUUAAAGCUCAUAAGCUGUAUUCUGCACUAAGGCAGACAUUUAAUAACAGUGAUAAUUAGUUAGUAGCUUGCAGUUUUCUAGUACUAAAGUCUACCUAAAAGCAUAAAAAAAUCUUUACUUAUCUCUGUACAUGGUAUUAACAACAAAUUUUGGGCUAGUCUGAAAUGACAUGUCUUCAUCCAUGACUCUUGGGUACAAUUCUUUCCUCAUCAAUAUAUACUAUUAACAACAUUUAUGUUAUCUAAACCAAAUUGCUGAUUAAAAACCUUUAAUAAACCUUGUCUGGA
Molecule: long non-coding RNA, 9156 nt
Organism: Pseudopipra pipra
Lineage: Eukaryota; Metazoa; Chordata; Aves; Passeriformes; Pipridae
Exons: 3
Source: RefSeq, a predicted model, not a curated record